GUCAACCUUUACGAGUGGAGGGGAAAAGAGCGGAAAAAAGAAGUCUAGACUUCUGCUGAGAGCAAAGCUCGGCGCCCGCGCUGCGCGGCGAUGACGACAUUACUUCGCGCCCGCAGCCGAGCGUUGUCAGCGCGGGGUGGCGGGCGCCUGCGCAGUGGCUCCGAGCGGGCGGUUGCUUGUUGGUUGUUGUAGUAACGGGGGAAGCAGCCGUCGGCGGUGGCCGUGAGCCCGGCUGGGGAAGGAGGAGGGUGGUAGGCGCAGAGCGCGGUCCCCGCCGGCCCGCCCGGAGUCAUGGGAAGAUGAGACAGGAAACAGUGCCACCUAAAUUGUUUGAUCCGGUGAAUCUGCAAGGAAAGGUCUCCGAGGCCCCCAUCUGCUGACUGCAUGACAAACCCUAAAGGAAAUGCCAGUCGUGAUGGCCCGGGACCUGGAGGAAACAGCAUCGUCCUCAGAGGAUGAGGAGGUGGUAAGCCAAGAGGAUCAUCCGUGUAUCAUGUGGACUGGAGGCUGCAGGAGAAUUCCAGUUUUGGUGUUCCAUGCUGAGGCUAUUCUGACAAAGGACAACAAUAUUCGAGUAAUUGGAGAACGUUAUCAUUUGUCUUACAAAAUUGUGCGAACAGAUAGUCGCCUGGUACGCAGCAUUCUGACAGCCCAUGGAUUUCAUGAAGUUCACCCAAGCAGCACUGACUAUAACCUAAUGUGGACAGGAUCCCACCUGAAGCCCUUCUUACUUCGCACCCUCUCCGAAGCACAAAAGGUUAAUCACUUUCCCAGGUCCUAUGAACUAACCCGGAAAGACCGACUAUACAAAAACAUCAUUCGAAUGCAGCAUACGCACGGAUUCAAGGCUUUUCACAUCCUCCCUCAGACCUUCCUUCUGCCAGCCGAGUAUGCGGAAUUCUGUAAUUCAUAUUCAAAGGACCGGGGACCUUGGAUAGUAAAGCCAGUGGCCUCUUCUAGGGGGCGGGGCGUCUACCUGAUCAACAAUCCGAACCAGAUUUCCCUGGAGGAGAACAUCCUGGUCUCCCGUUACAUUAACAACCCCCUGCUCAUAGACGAUUUCAAGUUUGAUGUGCGCCUCUAUGUGCUUGUGACUUCCUAUGAUCCUCUUGUCAUUUAUCUCUAUGAAGAAGGAUUGGCUAGGUUUGCAACUGUGCGAUAUGAUCAAGGAGCCAAGAACAUUCGGAACCAGUUCAUGCACCUGACAAACUACAGUGUGAAUAAGAAGAGUGGAGACUAUGUCAGCUGUGAUGAUCCCGAGGUGGAGGAUUAUGGGAACAAAUGGAGCAUGAGUGCCAUGCUUAGGUAUCUGAAACAGGAAGGCAGAGAUACAACUGCGUUGAUGGCCCAUGUGGAAGACCUGAUUAUUAAGACUAUAAUCUCUGCUGAACUAGCUAUUGCUACAGCCUGUAAAACCUUUGUUCCUCACCGCAGCAGUUGUUUUGAACUCUAUGGCUUUGAUGUGCUCAUAGAUUCUACUCUGAAGCCAUGGUUGUUGGAAGUAAAUCUCUCCCCUUCUUUGGCCUGUGAUGCACCUCUGGACCUAAAGAUUAAAGCCAGUAUGAUUUCAGAUAUGUUCACUGUUGUAGGAUUUGUGUGCCAGGACCCUGCCCAGAGGGCAUCAACCCGGCCAAUUUAUCCCACCUUUGAGUCUUCCAGGAGAAACCCUUUCCAAAAACCUCAGCGUCCAGUGUCUGCACAGUUUCAGUCCUCAGAUGCCAAACUGCGUUCCCGUCCACUGUCUGCCAGUGAUGCGGAAAUAAAAAACCUUGUGGGCUCAGCUCGAGAGAAGGUGCCGGGGAAGUUAGGUGGUUCUGUGCUCGGUCUGUCAAUGGAGGAGAUCAAAGUUUUACGGAGAGUGAAGGAAGAAAAUGAUCGGAGAGGUGGAUUUAUUCGCAUAUUCCCUACAUCAGAAACAUGGGAAAUAUAUGGGUCCUACCUUGAACACAAGACCUCCAUGAACUAUAUGCUGGCAACACGUCUCUUUCAGGACAGGGGAAACCCAAGAAGAAGCUUAUUGACAGGAAGAACACGACUAGCUGCUGAUGGAGCACCAGAAUUAAAGGUAGAGAGUAUGAAUUCAAAGGCCAAACUGCACGCUGCUCUCUAUGAGAGGAAGCUUCUGUCUUUGGAGGUGCGAAAACGUCGACGACGGAGUGGCAGAUUGAGGGCAAUGAGGCCAAAAUACCCAGGUACCCGCUGCAACAUUAGUGAUUCUUCGCAUUUAGUGAUCACUCAGCCAGCUGAAAUGAAUGUUAAAACUGAGACAGAGAGUGAAGAGGAGGAAGAGGUCACGUUAGACAAUGAAGACGAAGAGCAGGAGGCUUCCCAGGAGGAAUCCGCAGGGCCCCUUGGAGAAGAUCAAGCCAAAUACACCCCCUCAUUGACUGUUAUGGUAGAAAAUUCACCCAAAGAAAAUGCCAUGAAAGUUUCUGAAGGGAAUAAAGGUGAACAGUGCUGCAAAAUUGAGACUCAGAAGCCAGAGCCUAAAUUUAACCUGAUGCAGAUUCUGCAGGAUAACGGCAAUCUCAGCAAAGUGCAGGCCCGAAUAGCAUUCUCUGCCUAUCUCCAGCAUGUUCAAAUUCGCCUGAUGAAAGACAGUGGAGGUCAAACGUUCAAUGCCAGUUGGGCUGCCAAAGAGGAUGAACAGAUGGAGUUAGUGGUUCGCUUCCUUAAACGAGCGUCCAGUAACCUCCAGCACUCACUGAGGAUGGUAUUACCCAGUCGACGCUUGGCACUUCUGGAACGCAGAAGAAUCUUGGCCCACCAACUGGGUGAUUUUAUUAUUGUGUAUAACAAGGAAACAGAACAGAUGGCUGAAAAGAAAUCAAAGAAGAAACUUGAAGAAGAAGAGGAAGAUGGGGUGAAUACAGAAAACUUUCAGGAGUUCAUCAGAGAAGCAAGUGAGGCUGAGCUGGAGGAGGUGUUGACUUUUUAUACCCAAAAAAACAAGUCUGCAAGUGUCUUCCUGGGGACUCACUCAAAAAGUUCUAAAAACAGCAACAGUUAUUCUGAUAGCGGGGCAAAGGGUGAUCACCCUGAGACAGUGGAGGAAGGGAAAAUAAAGCAGCCCAAACAGCAGCAGGAAACAGAAAUUCACUCUGAUAAAUUAUCUCGAUUUACCACUUCAGCAGAAAAAGAGGCUAAAUUAGUCUAUACAAAUUCUCCCUCUGCUUCUUUCUCUGGUCCUGCUGCUACUCUUCUGCAGAAAAUUCCCAAUACCCACUUGUCAUCUAUUAUUACAACCUCUGACCUCUCACCAGGGCCUGGCCACCAUUCUUCUUUAUCUCAGAUUCCUCCAGCUAUCCCCAGCAUGUCUUACCAGCCAACAAUUUUACUGAGCACAGUCCCUGACAGUGCCUCUCCCUCCAUACAUCCUGGGACACAGAUCGCACCAAGCCCUGCUGGCCUGCCACGCUGUCGAUCAGGCAGUUGCACCAUUGGCCCCUUUUCCUCUUUCCAAAGUGCUGCACACAUCUAUAGCCAGAAACUGUCUCGUCCCUCUUCAGCAAAGGCAGCAGGUUCAUGCCAUCCGAACAAGCUGCACUCGGGAAUGGCUAAAACUCAGAGAGAGGAAGAAGAUGGCUCUCCGUACAGUAGACGGUAUAACCCGAGUAUGGUUACGGCCGAGCUUCAGCGGCUGGCUGAGAAGCAGGCAGCCAGGCAGUAUUCCCCAUCCACCCACAUCAGUCUCCUCACCCAGCAGGUAACAAACCUGAAUUUGGCAAGUGGCGUCAUAAACAGAAGCAGUGCUUCAACCCCCCCUACCCUUCGGCCUGUCAUCAGUCCUAGUGGCCCGACAUGGUCAAUACAGUCAGACGCCCAAGCUCCUGAGAGCCACUCCACCCCUCCUGGAAGCAGGAGCCUUCAAACAGGUGGCUUUGCCUGGGAGGGAGAGGUAGAGAACAACGCGUAUAGCAAGGCUACAGGGGUGGUCCCCCAGCACAAGUAUCACCCCACAGCGGGCAGUUACCAACUCCAUUUUGCCCUGCAGCAACUUGAGCAACAAAAACUUCAGUCCCGGCAGCUUCUGGACCAGAGUCGAGCCCGGCACCAGGCCGUCUUUGGCAGCCAGACACUAUCAAACUCCAAUUUAUGGACAAUAAAUAAUGGUGCAGCUUGCAGAAUUUCAAGUGCCACAGCUAGUGGCCAGAAGCCAACCACUCUGCCACAAAAAGUGGUGCCACCUCCAAGUUCUUCCUCCUCGCUGUUCCCCAAGCCCCCAGCCAAUCACAAACAAGUCCUCAGAAAGACAACAUCCCAGAGGGCCUCCAAAGGCUCAGCCACAGAAGGGCAGCUGAACGGACUCCAGAGCAGCCUUAACGCUGCGGCCUUUGCGCCCAUCACCAGCUCCACAGGCUCUUUGGAAGCUCCCCAUGUUAUUUUCGCCAGAUCCAAACCCUUGCCCACACAAUCUGGAGCCCUUGCUACAGUUACAGGACAGAGAAAAUCAAGGGCCAAUUUAAGGGCUGCCUCCGCUCCGCACAGACCCCUUGCAGCCGCGCCCGGCGCCCCCGUGUCACCAGGCCGGGUUUCAGGAAAUGGAUCUGCUGCUCUUGCCGCCUGUGUUGUUCAUUCCUACAUACUGGACCUGUGCCCGGGAAGAUCCUGCUCACGCUAAGAGAUGAACCGUCACCGCACACGGGUAGAAGCUCUUUGCUAACCCGCCUCCUGCGGGGGUGUGACCGAGGCCAAAGCAUCCACCGUUGCUGCGAGGGGUCCACGGAUGUCUCCAUUGGGCUGAAAGGUGUGACAUGGACAGUGAAUGCUGAUUUCCAGACCUAAGUUGGACUCUGCAAAAUAAGACAAGGAAGCAGUAAGAACAUUCUUUAUGUGAUGGGGAAAUGUGCCCAUCACCAUGCACGGCUGACAAGGCCUAUGCUCCCAUAGGCAGGCACAGGAGCUGAGUAAUAGCGAGAGUCAUAGGAGACAGAAGGUGCCACCAAAGCUAGAGUGGACCUCCACACAUGUUACCACAUUGCAGGUAUUUCUGUUAUGUCAUGAACAACCAAAUAAAGGCAUUAAUUAAGGGGCAUUAUAGAGGAGAACUUUCCUUUUUUUUUAGAAGAUUUGUUUAUUUGAGAGAGAGCAAGUGUGGGCACGUGUAUGCACACGGGGUGGUGGCAGAAGAAGAGGGAGAGAGAGAAUCUCAAGCAGACUCUGUGCUGAGCCCAACAAGGGGCUCGAUCUCAGGACCCUGAAAUCACGACCUGAGCCAAAACCAAGAGCCGGACACCUAAUUGAGUGCACCACCCAGGCAUCCUGAAGGAGAAUAUUCAUAGUCAUCUAUUUUCAAAGGAUGGUAUUGGGAAAAAAUUGUCACCUGCCUACUCGGGGGCAAAAGAAUGAGGAUACAAGAAGGAAAAAACCAUCAUCCUACUGAGGUGCUUGUUGGGAGAAGAGAUACUUGAGCCAACCUGCUGAGGCAGGAUGAAGUGGGAGGCAGGGGAACCAGGAGAGCCCAGGGGAAGGGGCUCACUGAAGAACUUCGGGGCAGAGAAGCAGUGAUUCAAAAAGCCACAAAUUCUGCGAGAUGGGGGAAGACGGCAGAGUCUGAGCCAUAGGAUUAGAAGUCAGGAAGCAAAGCUAGGGGCAAGGUCACCUGCAGACAAACAGCCGAGUCCGUCUACAGGGAAGAUGCCAGGCUUUCUGCCAGGGCCCUGAUUGUGGGUGUAAAUGGAGUGGUAGUUUCCCAAGGAGAGAAGAUGAAAAUCACAGUUACCCUUGGCCAUAUUUUCCUUAAGGGAUCAGGACAGAAUGAGGUCAAAGUUACUUGGACGUUUCUUCUCUGGAAAUCCCUGUUCAGUUAAUGGGGAAGCUGGAGAUGUGGAUGGCUCACUGGGGGAAAAUGAGCCGCUCAGGAAGACCGUUGUGAAAUCAGAGGACAGGCCGGAGGAGAUGGCCAAGGGCCAAGGGCCCAGAUGACAUGAGCUUGGAGAGAGCCAGAAGGAGGAAAUGUGGAGAUGCCAGGGUUUGCUGACAGAUCCUCUGGUGCAAGAAGGCCAGCUGUGGCCCUUUCUCCUUUUCGUGGUAUUUGCAUUU
Molecule: RNA transcript, 6042 nt
Organism: Ailuropoda melanoleuca (giant panda)
Lineage: Eukaryota; Metazoa; Chordata; Mammalia; Carnivora; Ursidae
Gene: TTLL5
Gene name: tubulin tyrosine ligase like 5
Exons: 37
Source: RefSeq, a predicted model, not a curated record